RNAcentral lists this ribosomal RNA (254 nucleotides) under uncultured bacterium. Its description in RNAcentral is "partial 16S ribosomal RNA". It matches the Rfam family "Bacterial small subunit ribosomal RNA", at positions 524 to 776 of the family's 1533-position model. The record is from RNAcentral.
UACGGAGGGGGGCUAGCGUUGUUCGGAAUUACUGGGCGUAAAGCGCGCGUAGGCGGCUUUGUAAGUUAGAGGUGAAAGCCCGGAGCUCAACUCCGGAACUGCCUUUAAGACUGCAUCGCUAGAACGAUGGAGAGGUAAGUGGAAUUCCGAGUGUAGAGGUGAAAUUCGUAGAUAUUCGGAAGAACACCAGUGGCGUAAGCGAUCACCUGGGCUAGACCUGACGCUGAGGGACGAAGGCGUGGGGAGCAAACGGG